Zea mays is the source of this 2383-nucleotide long non-coding RNA. RefSeq lists it as uncharacterized. NCBI's taxonomy places the organism in Eukaryota, Viridiplantae, Streptophyta, Magnoliopsida, Poales, Poaceae. The record is from RefSeq and is a predicted model, not a curated record. The transcript is spliced from 4 exons.
UUGGCCGCAAUUUUACACACCCCAAGGUCUCGCAAAUCAGGUUGCGGUCCUCGUACCAACCCUGGCCAUGUUCGGUUCGGUUGCCUAUCGCCUCCUCCUGCUCCUCUUCCGCCGCCGCCGCUGCCGCUGCUCCCUAGGUGAACCCGUCGUCGCCUCGCCUGGGCCCACAACGCCCUCCUCCGCCUGUGAGCAAGGCACCCCUCUCAGUCUUGUGCAGGGCGAGUUGCUGCCAUGGCGGUUGUUUUUUGCGGGCACGAGCUCUGCCCGCCUCCAGUCUUGGAUGUCGUGGCCAGGUGCCUACUUCCCCCUCCCUCCCUCCACUCGAGACUCCACGUCGCCGCCACACGACACUACGCAUCCGCUCUUCUUCCUCCCCUCGUCUCGGCGGCUAGCGUCCGCUCCCUCGACGCCUCCGUCCAUGCCCGGCUCCAGCACUCGCUGGCUCCCCGAGGGAGUUGAAUGAAGAAAGGAAGAUCAAGGAUUGAAGCAGUUUACGCAUGGCCCUGAGAUUGCAUUAACUCUUUCUCAGAAUGAUAUUGAGCUCCUGGCCUUCCUGUUGGCCAUACGAGAAUGAGGUGUAUAGGUAGAAGUCCAAGAGAAACAUCCAUAGCCGGUUGGGGAUGUCCGGUUCUGAGCUGCCACAUAGCUGAUGGGAUUUCAAGAUGGCAUGACAGCUGCUCGUGCAUAAUCAGGUACUUGUUCUUCUGAUUCUUAGCUUUUGUAGGCUCGGAGGAGAUGGAGGAUGGACUAAUUCAGAUUUGACUGGGUGCAUACAUCUUUAUUAUCAUAAAAUGGUGGUUGAAAUGGGUUUUCAGGUCAAGCCAAUGGGGGAUUUAUUAGGAGUAAAUGUACGUAUGAGAACUACUAUUUACAAUAAUUUAAUUUGUGGAGGAUGCCACAGUGUGUAUGUUUACAAUUCCACUCCCACAGAGGAAAUGGAUCAUGACAUCGGCCUUUGUCAUAUUCUCUGAAGCGUUGUAUUCUUGAUGUCAGAUUGUUGAGUGUUAGAGGUCAAUGGAUAGGGAUGUAAGUCUCAUAUUUUGGGUUAUUGGUCCUUCCAGAACUUGAUAAAAGAAACUAAAGUGGCAUGCCACCUGAUUAAUUUAGCAUUUAGGUGGAGAACUGAAUCUUCUGAAAUCAAUGUAUGGUGUGCUGACAUUCUCAAUACUGAAUAGCACUGGAUCUGAUGUUUUCAAUUUUUUCACCAAUUUAAAGACACUUCUAUGCUCUCCAUCAAGGAUUUCCCUGUUUUGCUGCAUUCAUUAUAUACUUAUAAGAAGGGAAUUUUAUAGUAAAAAGUCACAAGUUAUAACAAUUUAAGAGGCUACAACUUUCUGGAGCUUUACAUCCUUGUUAUGGUUCUAUAAGUCAGGUUUUUUUAAAUCUUAGAGAUUGAGAAAGAAAAGACUAAUGUGUUUUCACUUUAUUUUCUAAUUGCACACUAUCAUUAACAUGAUCAAAGGUGAUUGAUUCUUAAAUGGUUAACAAUAUAAUACCUUCCAAAUUGAUGCUACUAUUUAAUGCAAACUGUAUUUUCCUUAAUAAAUUCCUUAUAUUUGACUAUAGAUUUGGAAUGCAUGUAUACCCUAUAUUAUAUUGCAGGAUGGAGGGAGUAAUGUGUUAGUUGCAUUUUUGCCAUUAACCAAGGUUCAUGUAUUUUGUUUUGGCCAGCCGGUUCACUAUUACCUACAAACUUUAUUCAUUCACUUUACUUUUAUUUGUUUUCAGUGGGUUUUGCAUGACUGGGGUGAUGGUGAUUGUAAAGAUACUAAAGAACUGUAAGAAAGCUAUACCUCCCAUGAUUGCAGAAGGAAAGAUGAUAAUUCUCGAUAUGGUUGUUGGAGGCCAGUUGCCAAACAUUAAGUACAAAGAUAUUCAUGUCUUGUUUGAUCUCUUCAUCAUGUAUGUCUCAUGUCUGUCAAUGGCGCUGAGCGAGACGAACAAAAGUGGAAAAACAUAAUUUUCGAAGCUGGAUUUAGCGACUACAAAACCAUACUCGUUCUAGGUGUUCGAUUCAUCAUUGAGGAUGGGAGAGUAUUGAAUGCUUCUCUAGAUACUAUUCUUGGUCCAUCAAAUCUGCUUGACCCAAAUGCAAGUUUUGCUCAAAUGUGGCAAAAAAUGAUUGUCUCACCAAUUGUGAGCACACCUGUUUUCAGCAAAGUUCCAGAGAAGAAAAAGACGGAAUGGAACUCAAAAUUUGGUGGCCGCUCAAGUGGAAUUCAUAUAUACUUAGUUAGGCUCAACGUUAGCUUAAAGCUUAAAUAGUUGAUGACCUAGUUUUUAACUAGUAAUUUUAGUUUGGAUUUAGAGUACACUUAUAUAUGAGUUAUUUGACAAUGAUUAUUUAUGAUAUACUUAAUGAUACUUAUUUAUAUUAUGUUAA